This 497-nucleotide ribosomal RNA is filed under the name uncultured bacterium. RNAcentral describes it as "partial 16S ribosomal RNA". It matches the Rfam family "Bacterial small subunit ribosomal RNA", at positions 28 to 507 of the family's 1533-position model. The record is from RNAcentral.
GAUGAACGCUGGCGGCGUGCCUAAUACAUGCAAGUCGAGCGAACGGACGAGAAUCUUGCUUCUCUCAUGUUAGCGGCGGACGGGUGAGUAACACGUGGAUAACCCACCUAUAAGACUGGGAUAACUUCGGGAAACCGGAGCUAAUACUGGAUGAUAUUUUGAACCGCAUGGUUCAAGAGUGAAUGACGGUCUUGCUGUCACUUAUCGAUGGAUCCGCGCUGUAUUAGCUAGUUGGUAAGGUAACGGCUUACCAAGGCAACGAUGCAUAGCCGACCUGAGCGGGUGAUGGGCGACACUGGAGGUGAGCGGCGGUACAGACUCCUACGGGAGGCAGAAGUAGGGAAUCUUCCGAGAUGGGCGAAAGACUGACGGAGCAACGCCGCGUGAGUGAUGAAGGUCUUCGGAUCGUAAAACGCUGUUAUUGGGGAAGAACAUAUGAGUAAGUAACUGAGCACAGCUUGACGGUACCUAAUCAAGAAGCAACGGCUAACUACGUG